GGUGCUCGCUGUCUCGUGGACGCCAUCAGGCCGCUUUGGACUCGUCUGGACUAAAGCUGUUGUCCAGGUUUGUCGUCUUGGUCAUCCUGAAGAAAAGGAGCUCUCGGUGCUGCAAGCUGAUCGCCUAAGAACAUGGAAUAUAAUAUGGAUGCAGAUGCUUGAACAUAAUUUCUUCUGUACUCUGCAGAUUGGUAGCUUGAAUCAUUGAUUGAUAAGAAAUUAUACACAGGACUAAUACCAAGGAAAUAUUCUGUCUGUUCAUGUUGGGUUUAAUGAAAAUGAU
This 283-nucleotide long non-coding RNA is filed under the name Camarhynchus parvulus. RNAcentral's name for it is "lncRNA (ENSCPVG00000018121.1)". Lineage: Eukaryota; Metazoa; Chordata; Aves; Passeriformes; Thraupidae. The record is from RNAcentral.